UACCUCACUCACACUCACACUCACACUCACACUCACACUCACAGAGCCUCCUCUCCCUUCACGCUCUGAUUCACGGCCUCCCUCUCCCUCUCCUCCCUUUCACUGCCUCUCUCUGAAGGUGUUAUCGCUGCUUCCGCACCAACUGUUUCCCUCUCUGCUACAUUUUAGACUCUUUGGCUUGGCGGCGCAUCCGUGCUGUUCUUCCAAUGGUGCGAACCUUAAUCCCAACGCAGCUGGAUAUCCAUUAUGAAACGGUCCACUCAGCUUUCAACCUCGGAGGAAAAGAUACCCGCUAUCAUCGUUUUAGGAGCUACAUCUGUUUUGGAUACCAUGGCACAAGCCAGAUUGUCAGGAGGAGCGAAUAACUUUAUCCUUAUCCACCACCCUGACCCAGUAAGCAUUUAGCUCUCUAAGAGUUCGGUAAGGAGAAACGAAUCCGUGCUAGGGAUCAACUGCGGUUCUAUAAGACGCACGCAUACCGGCUUGAAGUUCGCCGCCACUAGAUUAUUAGAUGAUGAAGGGUUAUUUAUUUUUAAUUGUGAUGUUUAUUUCAGACGAUGUUAAUUACCUAAUGUUCGUUCUUCAAUUUUAUUUUGUAUUGUGUGUUAAGUUUGUAAAAUUGUGUUGUUAACUUUCAUCAAUCAUGAGCCAAAGGGCAUGCCACAUAUGUUCAAAACAAUGACAGCUCUCUAAGAGUUUGGUAAGGAGAAACGAAUACAUGCUAGGGAUCAACUGCGGUUCUAUAAGACGCAUGAGCCAGACAUGUAUCGGCUUGAAGUUCGCCGCCACUAGAUUAUUAGAUAAUGAAGGGUUAUUUUAUUUUUAAUUGUGAUGUUUAUUUCAGACGAUGUUAAUUACCUAAUGUUCUUCAAUUUUAUUUUGUUUUGUGUGUCAAGUUUGUAAGAUUGUGUUGUUAACUUUCAUCAAUCAUGAGCCAAAGGGCAUGUCACAUAUGUUCAAAACAAUGUCUGUAUUUUCAAAUUUGGAUUAUGACAUGUACCAAGGCUGCUUUUGUAUCACUCUAAAUGCAAGUCUAUUAUUUCUGUUUUUAUUAGCCAUAUUUUUUCUUGGACAUCAUUGGGGUUGUGCUAACUAAACAAUGUAGUUAUAAUAUGCUUGAUAUGUGACAUUUGAUAAAAGAGAUAGUUUCAAUA
Lotus japonicus is the source of this 1154-nucleotide long non-coding RNA. RefSeq lists it as uncharacterized. The record is from RefSeq and is a predicted model, not a curated record. NCBI's taxonomy places the organism in Eukaryota, Viridiplantae, Streptophyta, Magnoliopsida, Fabales, Fabaceae. The transcript has 2 exons.